RNAcentral lists this ribosomal RNA (468 nucleotides) under uncultured bacterium. RNAcentral's name for it is "partial 16S ribosomal RNA". It matches the Rfam family "Bacterial small subunit ribosomal RNA", at positions 28 to 507 of the family's 1533-position model. The record is from RNAcentral.
GACGAACGCUGGCGGCGUGCUUAACACAUGCAAGUCGAACGGAAAGGCCCUGCUUUUGUGGGGUGCUCGAGUGGCGAACGGGUGAGUAACACGUGAGUAGCCUGCCCUUGACUUUGGGAUAACUUCAGGAAACUGGGGCUAAUACCGGAUAGGAGCUCCUGCUGCAUGGUGGGGGUUGGAAAGUUUCGGCGGUUGGGGAUGGACUCGCGGCUUAUCAGCUUGUUGGUGGGGUAGUGGCUUACCAAGGCUUUGACGAGUAGCCGGCCUGAGAGGGUGACCGGCCACAUUGGGACUGAGAUACGGCCCAGACUCCUACGGGAGGCAGCAGUGGGGAAUAUUGCACAAUGGGCGGAAGCCUGAUGCAGCAACGCCGCGUGCGGGAUGACGGCCUUCGGGUUGUAAACCGCUUUCGCCUGUGACGAAGCGUGAGUGACGGUAAUGGGUAAAGAAGCACCGGCUAACUACGUG